Molecule: unclassified non-coding RNA, 320 nt
Filed under: plant metagenome
Description: partial contains 5.8S ribosomal RNA, internal transcribed spacer 2, and large subunit ribosomal RNA
Rfam family: 5.8S ribosomal RNA (bases 1-105)
Source: RNAcentral
GAAAUGCGAUAAGUAAUGUGAAUUGCAGAAUUCAGUGAAUCAUCGAAUCUUUGAACGCACAUUGCGCCCGCCAGUAUUCUGGCGGGCAUGCCUGUUCGAGCGUCAUUACAACCCUCAGGCCCCCGGGCCUGGCGUUGGGGAUCGGCGGAAGCCCCCUGCGGGCACAACGCCGUCCCCCAAAUACAGUGGCGGUCCCGCCGCAGCUUCCAUUGCGUAGUAGCUAACACCUCGCAACUGGUGAGCGGCGCGGCCACGCCGUAAAACACCCAACUUCUGAAUGUUGACCUCGAAUCAGGUAGGAAUACCCGCUGAACUUAAGC